AUGAGCUUCAGGGGAAGAUCGCUAGAUGUGUUCCUCAAUUCAAAGAAGACAAAAGCUAGGCAGAAGUUACCUGUGGAAGACGAGACUCCUCCCAGCAUGGAUUUCUCCAGGUCUCUGGAUUGGCUGGAACGCCUGCGGGUAUCUCCUAUGGCUGGCGGCUGGAAUCUGGCUUUCAUCAGUGCUAAAGACCCAGCCCUUAGGAAUCUCUGCAAUAAGAAUCAGGUGUUGGAUUCAAGAACCAUACCUCGUCCUCACAAGAGAAAUUUAUCUUUCUUAGGACCCUGUCUGUGGCAGAAAACACACGUGAUUUAUCCUUAGAAGAAAAGGAACUGAGUCUUCGCUCUACAACGAGGAACCGUGGGAUUUGGGGAAAACUAUUUAUCUGAGCUUCAGUUUCCUUGUCUGUAAAAUGGGCAUAAUAACAUCUCUCCUGGAGUCAUCACAAGCGUUCUGUGAACAUUAAAUGGUAUGGGGAUGGCUUUUAUAAAAGGAUAAGGCACACAAUAGUUAAACAACAUAUUUACUCACCUAUUCUUCCAGGUGGAGUUCGGUGCCUUUUCAAAGAAGAUUUGCUGAGGAAGCCAUGCCUUGGAGAAAGCUGCCAGUAUUCAGAGCACAUCUAAAACCCAAUCCUGCCUCUUCAGCUGGGCAGCACAGAUUCAUUGCUGAGACAGAAAGAGCACAGGUUAUCACUCAGGCGUUGGGCCUAGCUGCCUUGCAGAAUAGAUACAUAGUCAGCUCUCUGUACCUGUGGGUUCGGUAUCCAUGGAUUCAACCAAUUGCAGAUCAAAAAUAUUUUUAAAAAUGUGUCUGUAUUGAAUCUGUACAGACUUUUUCUUGCCAUUAUUCCCAAAACAUUAGAGGAUAACAGCUCUUUACAUAGCAUUUACAUUGUAUUAGGUAUUAUAAGUAAUCUAGAGAUGAUUUAAAGUGUACAAGAAGAACAUAAACAUCCAUGGAUUGUGAUAUCUGUGGGAGGUCCUGGAACCAAUCCACCACGGAUACCAAGAAACGACUGCACAUGCAUAAUUUCUACUGUUCAGUUCAGCAGGGCCACUUGCCCCGGUCAGAGCACCUUUCCAGCCCUUGCUAAUUACAGGAGGAUUUGAUGACUACUCCAGAUGAACCAGUUGAGGGUCUACUCUCAUCCAUCCUGCAUAGCUGUACCCCAUGGGAAUAAAAUAAGGGGAGUCUGUUUGUGCUCCUGGUGGAGGUGAAGGAGGAAGGUUCCAAAAAAUGGGCUAACAUGGCCCAUUAUUUAUAGACCACCCUACAGACUUCCACCACCUGGAAUUCAUAGCCCCCUUGACUGGCGUUUCCACCUUCAAGUCCUGUUACAACCCUCCCAUCUCGCCUUCCUCCCCAAGGCACUGCGCCCUUGCCCCUGGUCAUAUUUGCUGUCCUCUGCUUUGAUGAUUCUUCUUG
This 1425-nucleotide long non-coding RNA is filed under the name Macaca mulatta (Rhesus monkey). RNAcentral's name for it is "lncRNA (ENSMMUG00000062084.1)". The record is from RNAcentral. Lineage: Eukaryota; Metazoa; Chordata; Mammalia; Primates; Cercopithecidae.